UUUCCGUAGGUGAACCUGUGGAGGGAUCAUUACAGAGUUCAUGCCCUAACGGGUAGAUCUCCCACCCUAUGUUAUCAUCACUUUGUUGCUUUGGCGGGCCGUCAGGCCUCGGCUUGGCUACCGGCUCGCGCUGGUAAGCGCCCGCCAGAGAAACCCAAACUAUGAAUAUCAGCGUCGUCUGAGUACUAUAUAAUAGUUAAAACUUUCAACAACGGAUCUCUUGGUUCUG
RNAcentral lists this unclassified non-coding RNA (229 nucleotides) under plant metagenome. RNAcentral describes it as "partial contains small subunit ribosomal RNA, internal transcribed spacer 1, and 5.8S ribosomal RNA". The record is from RNAcentral.